UUAAGUGACUAAGCGUACACGGUGGAUGCCUAGGCAGUCAGAGGCGAUGAAGGACGUACUAACUUGCGAUAAGCGCAGAUAAGGCAGUAAGAGCCGUUUGAGUCUGCGAUUUCCGAAUGGGGAAACCCAACUGCACAAGCAGUUACUGUUAACUGAAUACAUAGGUUAACAGAGCAAACCGGGGGAACUGAAACAUCUAAGUACCCCGAGGAGAAGAAAUCAACCGAGAUUCCGGUAGUAGCGGCGAGCGAACCUGGAUUAGCCCUUAAGCACUCGUUGAAGUAGGUGAACAAGCUGGAAAGCUUGGCGAUACAGGGUGAUAGCCCCGUAACCGACGCUUCAUCGAGCGUGAAAUCGAGUAGGGCGGGACACGUGAUAUCCUGUCUGAAUAUGGGGGGACCAUCCUCCAAGGCUAAAUACUCCUGACUGACCGAUAGUGAACCAGUACCGUGAGGGAAAGGCGAAAAGAACCCCUGUGAGGGGAGUGAAAUAGAACCUGAAACCGUGUACGUACAAGCAGUAGGAGCACCUUCGUGGUGUGACUGCGUACCUUUUGUAUAAUGGGUCAGCGACUUAUAUUCAGUGGCAAGGUUAACCGUAUAGGGGAGCCGUAGCGAAAGCGAGUCUUAACUGGGCGCUCAGUCUCUGGAUAUAGACCCGAAACCGGGUGAUCUAGCCAUGGGCAGGUUGAAGGUUGAGUAACAUCAACUGGAGGACCGAACCGACUAAUGUUGAAAAAUUAGCGGAUGACUUGUGGCUAGGGGUGAAAGGCCAAUCAAACUCGGAGAUAGCUGGUUCUCCCCGAAAGCUAUUUAGGUAGCGCCUCGGACGAAUACUACUGGGGGUAGAGCACUGUUAAGGCUAGGGGGUCAUCCCGACUUACCAACCCUUUGCAAACUCCGAAUACCAGUAAGUACUAUCCGGGAGACACACGGCGGGUGCUAACGUCCGUCGUGGAGAGGGAAACAACCCAGACCGCCAGCUAAGGUCCCAAAGUAUUGCUAAGUGGGAAACGAUGUGGGAAGGCUCAGACAGCUAGGAUGUUGGCUUAGAAGCAGCCAUCAUUUAAAGAAAGCGUAAUAGCUCACUAGUCGAGUCGGCCUGCGCGGAAGAUGUAACGGGGCUAAGCAAUACACCGAAGCUGCGGCAAUGUCUUUUAGACAUUGGGUAGGGGAGCGUUCUGUAAGCCGUUGAAGGUGGUCUGUAAGGGCUGCUGGAGG
The sequence is a ribosomal RNA, 1220 nucleotides long. It matches the Rfam family "Bacterial large subunit ribosomal RNA", at positions 1 to 1279 of the family's 2925-position model.